GAGUUUGAUCGUGGCUCAGAUUGAACGCUGGCGGCGUGCCUAACACAUGCAAGUCGAGCGGUAACAGGCGUAGCAAUACGUGCUGACGAGCGGCGAACGGGUGAGCAAUGCUUCGGAAUCUGCCCAAUGGUGGGGAAUAACCAGUCGAAAGAUUGGCUAAUACCGCAUACGCCUUCGGGGAAGCGGGGUCGCAGACUCGCGCCGAUGGAUGAGCCGAAGUCGGAUUAGCUAGUUGGUAGGGUAACGGCCGUACCAAGGCGACGAUCCGUAGCUGGUCUGAGAGGACGACCAGCCACACUGGGACUGAGACACGG
This 314-nucleotide ribosomal RNA is filed under the name uncultured Gammaproteobacteria bacterium. Its description in RNAcentral is "bacterial SSU rRNA". It matches the Rfam family "Bacterial small subunit ribosomal RNA", at positions 9 to 329 of the family's 1533-position model. Lineage: Bacteria; Pseudomonadati; Pseudomonadota; Gammaproteobacteria. The record is from RNAcentral.